RNAcentral lists this ribosomal RNA (162 nucleotides) under uncultured bacterium. Its description in RNAcentral is "partial 16S ribosomal RNA". It matches the Rfam family "Bacterial small subunit ribosomal RNA", at positions 393 to 539 of the family's 1533-position model. The record is from RNAcentral.
GACGCCGCGUGGGGGAUGAAGGGCUUCGGUUCGUAAACCCCUGUCAUUUGUGAACAAACCCCGGGUAUGAAUAGUGCCCGGGCUGAUAGUAGCAAAAAGAGGAAGGGACGGCUAACUCUGUGCCAGCCACCUCGGUGACUGAGCGGGCUGGCAAGGCGCAUA